This 468-nucleotide ribosomal RNA is filed under the name uncultured bacterium. RNAcentral describes it as "partial 16S ribosomal RNA". It matches the Rfam family "Bacterial small subunit ribosomal RNA", at positions 28 to 507 of the family's 1533-position model. The record is from RNAcentral.
GACGAACGCUGGCGGCGUGCUUAACACAUGCAAGUCGAACGGAAAGGCCCUGCUUUUGUGGGGUGCUCGAGUGGCGACCGGGUGAGUAACACGUGAGUAACCUGCCCUUGACUUUGGGAUAACUUCAGGAAACUGGGGCUAAUACCGGAUAGGAGCUCCUGCUGCAUGGUGGGGGUUGGAAAGUUUCGGCGGUUGGGGAUGGACUCGCGGCUUAUCAGCUUGUUGGUGGGGUAGUGGCUUACCAAGGCUUUGACGGGUAGCCGGCCUGAGAGGGUGACCGGCCACAUUGGGACUGAGAUACGGCACAGACUCCAACGGGAGGCAGCAGUGGGGAAUAUAGCACAAUGGGCGGAAGCCUGAUGCAGCAACGCCGCGUGCGGGAUGACGGCCUUCGGGUUGUAAACCGCUUUCGCCUGUGACGAAGCGUGAGUGACGGUAAUGGGUAAAGAAGCACCGGCUAACUACGUG